AAGUCGUAACAAGGUUUCCGUAGGUGAACCUGCGGAAGGAUCAUUAAUACGCUUUUGUUUGUAACAAAACAAAACGUUUUAAACUCCAAAAGAAAUAGUGGAAAUAUAACUUCCGGAUGCGAAUGUUGGGAACUGAGUAAAAUCGGUUCUUUGAAAAAGGGACUUCAAGCAAUUGACACUUCAGAGUAGAGCAGUGAGGUGAAAUUCUCGUUUUCGAGCGAGAGUUUGGUUCUGAAAAACAUUUGUAUCCGGUUAUCAUAAUCUGUUCUACAACACAAAAUAUCAAACAAUAAACCCCAUGUACAACAACUUGAACUAAACAUUUUUUUGUUGUCUGCUCGCCCUUGUGUGAGAAGAUGCUACAAAGAAAAAACCUGAACUUAAGAACAACUCUUAACAACGGAUAUCUUGGUUCUC
RNAcentral lists this unclassified non-coding RNA (417 nucleotides) under fungal sp. Its description in RNAcentral is "partial internal transcribed spacer region". The stretch from base 1 to 46 matches the Rfam family "Eukaryotic small subunit ribosomal RNA", at positions 1786 to 1831 of the family's 1831-position model. Lineage: Eukaryota; Fungi. The record is from RNAcentral. RNAcentral also lists the same sequence under 1 other name.